This 625-nucleotide ribosomal RNA is filed under the name Salmonella enterica subsp. enterica. RNAcentral describes it as "partial 23S ribosomal RNA". It matches the Rfam family "Bacterial large subunit ribosomal RNA", at positions 711 to 1249 of the family's 2925-position model. The record is from RNAcentral. Lineage: Bacteria; Pseudomonadati; Pseudomonadota; Gammaproteobacteria; Enterobacterales; Enterobacteriaceae. RNAcentral also lists the same sequence under 1 other name.
AGACCCGAAACCCGGUGAUCUAGCCAUGGGCAGGUUGAAGGUUGGGUAACACUAACUGGAGGACCGAACCGACUAAUGUUGAAAAAUUAGCGGAUGACCUGUGGCUGGGGGUGAAAGGCCAAUCAAACCGGGAGAUAGCUGGUUCUCCCCGAAAGCUAUUUAGGUAGCGCCUCGUGAAUUCAUCUCCGGGGGUAGAGCACUGUUUCGGCUAGGGGGCCAUCCCGGCUUACCAACCCGAUGCAAACUGCGAAUACCGGAGAAUGUUAUCACGGGAGACACACGGCGGGUGCUAACGUCCGUCGUGAAGAGGGAAACAACCCAGACCGCCAGCUAAGGUCCCAAAGUCAUGGUUAAGUGGGAAACGAUGUGGGAAGGCCCAGACAGCCAGGAUGUUGGCUUAGAAGCAGCCAUCAUUUAAAGAAAGCGUAAUAGCUCACUGGUCGAGUCGGCCUGCGCGGAAGAUGUAACGGGGCUAAACCAUGCACCGAAGCUGCGGCAGCGAACGUAUCACCCAAGACAACUUUGCGGAGUUGACGAUUGACGGAGCGAAGCGACGUCAAAGCGUUCAUUAAAGUCGAGUUGGCUUAGGGAUACGUUCGUUGGGUAGGGGAGCGUUCUGUAAGCC